Bemisia tabaci is the source of this 884-nucleotide non-coding RNA. NCBI's taxonomy places the organism in Eukaryota, Metazoa, Arthropoda, Insecta, Hemiptera, Aleyrodidae. The record is from RefSeq and is a predicted model, not a curated record.
GGUGCGUCGCCUCCAGCCCCGUUCCAGAGAUUUUUCUACUGGCCCCCGCAAUCCCCCUUUUUUAGCUCUUUUGUAGUUGACCUUUUCUCCCUUUUUUUUAGCGCGAUAUGCUAGUGGUUUUAUAUAUUUAGGCGGCUAUAUAUUAUAUAUAAUAUCGUUGUCAAGUAGUGGAAGGUGAACCUCUGAUUUCUUUUUGUUUUUGUUUUUUAACGACCCCACCCUGUUCGUCGUCCCGUGGGAGUGAACCGGUUCUCGAGGGUCGAUUUGUAUAUAUAGACGGUUGUAUGCAUUUAUUAAGUUUUGUGAUUUGAUAGUGGGCGGAGGGACUUGUUUCUUGCGACUCCACCUUGUUCGUCAUCCUCGGGAGGUGAACCGGUUCCGCGAGGUGGAUUUGUGAAUAUAAACGGCUGCUCCAUUCGUUUGGUUUGGUUGUCUGGCAGUGAACGGUGGAAUUUUUACGACCCCACCCUGUUCGGCGUUCGAUGGAGGUGAACCGGUUUCGCAGGGUGGAGGUGUCGCGCCGGAUGUUCUCAGACUGUGAUAUCUGUUCUGAAUCUUAAAACGAGUACCUUAACCUUGUUUAUCACUUCGUCUUCGGGGUCCUGGAAGGUCGCGGUCCAACUCACACUUUGACCGCGCAAAGCGAAGAUUUGCAGUUCAUGUCUUCGAAAAAUUGAGGUGCGGCAUAAUGAGAUCACCCCUCCUGGAGCAGGGAACGACGUUCCGGCCGGCCGACCCCUCAUCUGCCUUACAACAAUGAGUUUUUAUACUUUCAUACCGAAGAGGCGGAUGAAAACACCUCGAUCGAAUUAAUCUAACCUCGAAUUCCCAGAUGGAUGUUCGUUCCCGUGAAUCGGACGGUGCAUUUAAUUAGUAAACCCGAA